Molecule: ribosomal RNA, 562 nt
Filed under: uncultured bacterium
Lineage: Bacteria
Description: partial 16S ribosomal RNA
Rfam family: Bacterial small subunit ribosomal RNA
Source: RNAcentral
UGGGGAAUAUUGCGCAAUGGGCGAAAGCCUGACGCAGCGACGCCGCGUGAGGGAUGAAGGCCUUCGGGUUGUAAACCUCUUUCAGCAGGGAAGAAGCGAGAGUGACGGUACCUGCAGAAGAAGCACCGGCUAACUACGUGCCAGCAGCCGCGGUAAUACGUAGGGUGCAAGCGUUGUCCGGAAUUAUUGGGCGUAAAGAGCUCGUAGGCGGUUUGUCGCGUCUGCUGUGAAAACUCGGGGCUCAACUCCGAGCUUGCAGUGGGUACGGGCAGACUAGAGUGCGGUAGGGGAGACUGGAAUUCCUGGUGUAGCGGUGAAAUGCGCAGAUAUCAGGAGGAACACCGGUGGCGAAGGCGGGUCUCUGGGCCGUAACUGACGCUGAGGAGCGAAAGCAUGGGGAGCGAACAGGAUUAGAUACCCUGGUAGUCCAUGCCGUAAACGUUGGGCGCUAGGUGUGGGGCUCUUUCCACGAGUUCUGUGCCGCAGCUAACGCAUUAAGCGCCCCGCCUGGGGAGUACGGCCGCAAGGCUAAAACGUCAAAUGAAUUGACGGGGUCAUAGCU